RNAcentral lists this ribosomal RNA (384 nucleotides) under uncultured bacterium. Its description in RNAcentral is "bacterial SSU rRNA". It matches the Rfam family "Bacterial small subunit ribosomal RNA", at positions 370 to 772 of the family's 1533-position model. The record is from RNAcentral.
AAAGGGGGAAACCCUGACGCAGCAACGCCGCGUGGGUGAUGAAGGCCUUCGGGUCGUAAAGCUCUGUCCUCAAGGAAGAUAAUGACGGUACUUAAGGAGGAAGCCCCGGCUAACUACGUGCCAGCAGCCGCGGUAAUACGUAGGGGGCUAGCGUUAUCCGGAAUUACUGGGCGUAAAGGGUGCGUAGGUGGUUUUUUAAGUCAGAAGUGAAAGGCUACGGCUCAACCGUAGUACGCGUUUGAAACUAGAGAACUUGAGUGCAGGAGAGGAGAGUAGAAUUCCUAGUGUAGCGGUGAAAUGCGUAGAUAUUAGGAGGAAUACCAGUAGCGAAGGCGGCUCUCUGGACUGUAACUGACACUGAGGCACGAAAGCGUGGGGAGCAAA